RNAcentral lists this long non-coding RNA (1290 nucleotides) under Anas platyrhynchos platyrhynchos (common mallard). RNAcentral's name for it is "lncRNA (ENSAPLG00000022371.1)". The record is from RNAcentral. Lineage: Eukaryota; Metazoa; Chordata; Aves; Anseriformes; Anatidae.
GUUUAUGUAUAUAUUGGGCAGGGGGAGAGCAAAUAAAUAACCUGAGCUCUGUGAAGUUGGUUUGUAUGUCAUCGUGUAGCCUUAUUAUUAGCGUGUCUAGCUUCUAGAUGGUGCCGCUUGCUGCUUUAGUCAGGAUUCCUGGGCUUUCACUUAGUGUGGCUGGCGAAGCACUGGCUUUGAAUCGCGAUCUCAGCUUUCAUGUAGCUACUGGUGAAAAGAAAAGCAUCAGCAGGAAUGCUUUUUAAAAGGCUGACAGGAGCCUGUGACUUUGCUGGGUUACUGGCACUGCCGCUGCGCGUUGGAAACCAAGGAACAGCUCUGCUGUACCAAGGCUGUGAUGAUAAUAAACGGGAGGACAGGCCCCCUGUUCUUUCAGAAGGUUAUGCUAAAUCCAGAUUCCACUAAUGUUUCUUUCUGAAAAACACAAUCUCUCUCUAUAUCUAUCUAUCUAUCUAUCUAUCUAUAUAUAUCUAUACAUACUAUGUUUCCUAUAGCUAUACUGCUACUUGAUAGGUUUUAAUUAAAAGGUAAUUUAAGUUUCUAGGGCUGCAUAAAAAAUACCGGACACAGGGACUAAAAAAAAGUGAAUGCAAAAGCUGGCUGAGCCCUCGAGGAGCUUAGGGUGAUAGCUGGCUGGUAUCUGAUUUGUAGCAGCCAGAAGUCCAAUUCUGGCAACUUUUUCAAAGAAGCUGCGAAAGUCUGUCAAGAGGCCACUGUUGAAUGGGUGAGUGUCCUGCCCUGCUUCCCUCUCUCUGCUCUGGGGCACUCUGCCUAUCUCUUCUUAACCAUCCCCCCCUUCCACCUCCCCCAAGUAUUUACAUCCUCUGUCAUAGAAACAGAUCGUGCAAAGUCAUGGAUAGAGAGCAAAAAUCCAGUCUCUUUCCAGACACUGGGAAGUCAGGGGAAUAUGGAAGUGGAGUGUGUUGAAGCAGUGACACUGCCUGGAAACAGAGCAGCCGUGACUGGGGAUUUGAGAUUUUUUGCCUAUUUCUGGCUCUGCAGUCCUGCAUGUAGCACGUGGCUUAUCCUUUCUAGAGCAAGCCAUCGCACACGGGUUAGAAACAACAUACGGUCCCUGGAUACAAUGGGACUUGGGGUAAGUGGAUUAAAUAGGUAUUGAGAUGUUGAACAGUGUUGUGUGCCUGGAUUCCUCAAGUGGAAUGGAUGUUUCUGAACUUGGGUAGGAGCUAGAACGUGCUACAGAGCCUGGGUUGUGGCACCGACGUGGUGCUAGCCAGGGUUUGUCAGAGUAAAGCAAGCUCUGGCCGUGUUUAGCUUUCUAGUGACAAG